RNAcentral lists this unclassified non-coding RNA (746 nucleotides) under Arabidopsis thaliana (thale cress). Lineage: Eukaryota; Viridiplantae; Streptophyta; Magnoliopsida; Brassicales; Brassicaceae. The record is from RNAcentral.
GUUAAAAGAAGAUUUUGUGACCGUUAAUUGUGAUUAUCAGUUUCCUUUUCUUCGCUUAUAAAUAAAUAAUUACUCUCUCACUGAGAGUCUCAACGCUUCUUCUAAAGAAUUCGACAAAUCAAAACUCUCUAUUUCUCGCUUCUUCUUAUUCUAAAACCCUAAUUCUCUUCUCAAGACAAUUUUGUCUUUAUCUCUCUGUGAAUUCCGAUGAUGAUCCAAGUAGAGAUAUUCAAGUAAAAGCCGAUGGUGAUGAUCUCUGAAACGUCCGUAAUUGAUCGGAGCGAUAUCAUAUCAUCAUCGUUUCGUGAUUGAACCAUCAAAUCUAUGUCAUCAAGAUCGAUGUCGCCAGAUAAUGAUCUGACCAACGAGAGACGCUUUCACCGGAGACUACAAAGAGGAGGAUAUAGCCAAGAGAGCGGAGAGCUUUAUGGUGGUGGAUGAUGUCACGAGAGGGCUCCCAAAGACCGACGGGCUCAAAUCUGACUUUGGAAUGGGCUUUGCUCUAUGGGCCCUUUUUGCUACUAAAUCCAACAAGGGAGAUGAGAGAUUCAAUUCAAUGCAAGUUGUGUCUAUGUGACUCCAUCAAUACACUUGACUAAUCAGAAUCAAUGCUCCAUCUAGCUAGACUGUGCGAUCGAAUCUUUAUUUUAAUUCAUCUUCAAAUUCGUCAGUGCACUAGCUAAAAGACUAGAUUCAUUUUUAUAAUGUUUUUUAUUAGUUAGUCUUGUCUUUUCUCUUCUGUUCAG